GGGAGUGAUAGGUUUCGAUAGGAAAUUCCUUUAAAAUGAGCAGGCCGAGGAUGUCAGUUAGCUCGUUAAAAUCUGACAAAAACAACUGCAAAAACAAAUUUUGCUUUUGCUACAGCUUAAAUGCUGCAGCCAUCAUAAUUGCUGAUUCUCAAUAAGUAAUUUUGGUGUUAUAGUGUCCUUUAUGGGCUCUUGAGAUAGAUGUUUUGGUUGGCUUAAGCCAGAAUAUUAAAUAAAGUUGAGCUAAGCUAUCUGAGUUUUUGUUUGUUUCUUAUUCAGAUAGUCGAAAAAAAUAAACAAACUAAGCUUGUAGAUUUAUUUUAAAGAAUUUUUUAGACGGGAGUUCAAUUCUCCUCACUUCCAC
Molecule: transfer-messenger RNA, 361 nt
Filed under: subsurface metagenome
Description: transfer-messenger RNA, SsrA
Rfam family: transfer-messenger RNA
About the family: Bacterial tmRNA, also known as 10Sa RNA or SsrA, is named for its dual tRNA and mRNA-like properties. Its role is to liberate the mRNA from a stalled ribosome.
Source: RNAcentral